RNAcentral lists this long non-coding RNA (6699 nucleotides) under Sus scrofa (pig). Its description in RNAcentral is "lncRNA (ENSSSCG00000059319.1)". The record is from RNAcentral. Lineage: Eukaryota; Metazoa; Chordata; Mammalia; Artiodactyla; Suidae.
AUAUGAGUUUCAAAAAUUUGAGAAACACUUUGCUAAAGUAACUUACUCCUUUUAGAUUGUUUGCCUUCUACUGACUGACUAGAGCACAGAGGCCUAUAUGUUAGACUUGCUUCUAGGAUGAGUUACUGAGAAAAACAAGCAUCUUAAUGAUUACAAUAACAUUUUUAUAAUAUAAAAUAUAAUUUAAGAAGUUAAUGUAUAACUUGGUUAUUUCCCUUGUAACUAAGAAAUCCAUUUUGAAGCUUCUAAGUACAAGCAAGGUGUUUUCUAAGGUAAAAUGUUUUCUGAACCCACUUUAAUUGUUAAUCUAUUUGGACCUUCCUGUGAACACUUGGAUCAUUUUCAUGGCUUUUGGUCAGUUCAGUAUUGUCCAUUUAUCAUAAGCUACUGGUAACAGUCCAGUAAACCCCAGGCAUUUAGUGUCAUCAAAUGAUUCAUGGUUUCUUACAGCACAAGGCAGUUUAUAGUGGUCAGGUGUCAAAUUUCUGCAUUAGCUCUCAGAUCUUUUCUGCUAUCUUGUGUUAAGUCUUGAUGUAUACUCACCUUCCUUUGCUCUCAUGGAAUUGAGCUGCCUUUUAUAAAGUGGAGACACCUUAUAAAUAUCUCCAUUGCCGCUCUGUCACUUCUAACUCCAAUCUGUUUCCUUCACAAUGGGUUAUCUCCUGGCUUUUUCUAAAGGGAUCAUGCCCUCGACUCUCCAAUUCAGAAGUAAAAUAAAAUAUGUGAGAGCCCUGUAAUUAAGGAGAGUGGACAGAGGGAAGAACUGACAUUUGCUGAGUACCUCUGAUGUUCUGCACACCGGCUGGGCCUUCCAUAUGUUAUCGUACUUGAUCUAGAUAUAUUCUAGAAACAUUAAGUCCACUCUAUUUACUUUAUAGUAACGAUGGCAUCAGCUCAGUUUUAGGCUCUCCUGAUGGUCUUCUGAUGAAAAUUUUUGUCAUUUGGUUUGUGUGUAGUUGAGAGAGAGAGGAUGUGUUUGUUGUUCUAGUCGUGCUACACACUGACAGAUCAUGGUUGGUUAGUGCAAUGGGGAGUGAGCGUCACAGUGUCUCCAGAACUGCUUUGUUUCUGGGUCUUGAUAAGGUAAGGGCCAUGUCGAUGGCAUAUGAAGACUCUGAAGCAGCCUAAAUUAUCUCUCAGCCUGGUGGGCUGCGCCUGGUGACUGGUGACACAUUGAACAGACAAGGAGCAAAGUCAACGUUUCAACCACCUGGUUAACUAGAUGUUAUCUUUAUACGCCUAAGGUCUUUCCCAAUGUUGACUAUAGUUUCCCUGGAAGGCUAUUUGACGCAGCACAAAGUUAAGCCAAUUUUGGUCUCCCAUUCUUGCUUGUCACCAUGUAAGGGUAUCAGGAGGCAGUACAGUUAUGUAUAGUGUGCUGAUUGGCAGAAGGGAAGCUGCCUUGUAGAAAUCCUGAUCCCACCCCUAACUGCCUUUCUGACCUUGGGUAAGUCAUUUAACUUCUCCUAGAACCAGUUCUUUCCAUCUAUAAAAUGAGUAUAGUUAUAGAACCUACAAUGCAUGUAAAGCACAAAGCACAGGGCCUGGUAUAUUGUUCAUAUUCACUUAUUGCCAUUAUAAUAACAACAAUAUCAAUGAUUAUUAUUCUUAAAACAAGAACCCCAAUAAAAAUAAAUCAACCUCAUGACUCCAAAGAAGCAAAUGCUAUUAACAUUAUGUCCUCUUAAAUUUCCAUAUAAUGCUAAUUUAUGAAUUUAAUAAUCUUAAUUGUCAGGAAACUUUCCUCAUUUUUAACCUAAAUCCUAAAUGCUAUAGAUAGGUUCUCAUUCCUCUUGAACUACCCAUGGAGAUUGUUUUCCUCAGAGUCUUCAUUUUCUAUAAAAUUUUCUCCACCCUUCCCAGAAGGCCCAGAUUUCAUUAGAUUUUUUGGAGGACAUGGAAUGUAAGUUUAACCCUUGCAAUAGCCUCAUUUUAGUCUAUUUUAUCACGUCAAAUAAGUUCUUCAGAAGAAAACUGUGUUCUUUCCCUUCACUUUUUGUGGGCAUUUUAUAAUAGAAUGAGCCAUAUGGAUUUAAGUAUAUUACAAAAUCAUUCUGUGGUUAGGACAGUUUGAAAGACAAAGUUAAAUCUAUUUAAUGGAAUAUUUUGGAAAAGAGAAAAAGAAAAGCCAUGUUUGUCCAAGAUUUUGUUUUGGGCACAUUUGAGUGACAAAGUUGUUUUAUAGGAACUGGUUUUAUUUUCCUUAUUCUUUCCUUAAUGUGGUUGCAUAAUUCAUGUUCAUGUUAAGUGUUAUUAAAAUAAAUGUAACUAUUUUAAAUUUGAUAAGCCCAUAAAUCCUUUCAGUGAAAGCAUACAUGGCAUGACAAAUUUCACUGUCGGACAAUUCAUAUCAGUAGAGACAGAUCUUAUAAGAUGUCUUCUUAUUUCAGUCACAAAUCAGAAAGUCUUCAUGCUGUACUGCAGGGAAGACGUGUACAUGCAUUAUAAAUUCUCUUUCACAUUCUAGAAAUUACAACCAGGAACUCCAGGUAGUUUUGAAAGCUUUUUCAAAUUAUCAAAUGCUGCAGACCAGAGAUUUUUCAAGUUUUAGUGUGUGGAAGAGUCGCCCAGAGGAUCUUGUCAGAAUGCAGAUUCUGAUUUAGUAGGUCUGGGGUGGGGCCUAGCAGUCUGCAUUUCUAAUAGGUCUCAGGUGAUGCUACUGCUGCUGGUCCUGGGCCACACUUUGGGUAGUAAGACUGUGGACUCCCCUUUCUCUUUGUGACUUCUACCCAACUUAGAAACUCUACAGAGUUUUCUGAAUCUAAAAGGUAGGUAAUAACUGAUGUCAGUUGGGAGAGAUGAAAUGAAAAUCACAUAGGUGAAUGUGAGUCUCACAAUAAACACUUGGGUCACUAUAGUUUAUGAUCUCUUGGGAUAGCAAGUGUGUUUAAGUCCGAUCUUCUGCAUUGUGGUUCCUCUCUCCCAAGACUCGUAUUCACUAUUAUUAUUACCAUUACUUUGCCUUUGCCAUUAUUAUGUCUUGUUUCUUUCACAAAGCCUAGGAAGACAAUGUAGUCUGCAAGAUCCAAGGAGAUUCUGAGCUCAAAGAAAGAUAAGAUGUGGCCUUCGUAGGAAAACCAAUAUCUGCCUUAAAAGUUUCUGGGAUCACUGCAAUUUCUACCAGUAAAUAUUACCUUCUAUUUUUAUAUUCACCAGAGUGACUAAGGUACUGUUAGAAGCAUAGGAGGUGCUUAAUAUGGAAUUUGAUUGCUGAAUUCCAUAAUGGCAUAAGAAUAAUAAUUUGCAGUAGGGAACAAUUGUGAAUGAGGAUGUGAGGUCUCUGUGUUAAGAGAGAUAGCAUUUACUGUAGUUUUGAUUUGCAUUUCUCUAAUAAUUAGUGAUGUUGAAAUUUUUUUUCAAGUGCCUACUGGCCGUCUGUAUGUCUUUGGAAAAAUGUCUGUUUAGGUCUUCUGCCCCUUUUCCAAUUGGGUUGUUUGUUUUUUGUUGUUGUUGAAUUGUAUGAGUUGUUUGUGCAUUUUGGAGAUUAUGCCCUUAUUGGUUGCAUCAUUUGCAAAGAUUUUCUCCCAGUCUGUGGGUUGUCUUUUUUUUUUUUUUUAAAUGGUUUCCUAUGCCGUGCAAAAGCUUUUAACAAAUGAAUCUAUGUAUGAAACAGACUAACGGACAUAGAGGACAGACUUGUGGUUGCCAAGGGGGAGAGGGGAAGAAGUGGGAUCGUCUGGGAGUUUGGAGUUAGUAGAUGCAAACUAUUACAUUUAGAAUAGAUAAGCAAUGAGGUCCUACUGUAUAGCACAGGAAACUAUAUCCAAUCUCUUGGGAUAGAACAUGAUGGAGGAUAGUAUAAGAAAAAGAAUGUAAUGUAUACAUGACUAGGUCACUAUGCUGUAUAGCAGAAGUUGACACAACAACAUAAAUCAACUAUACCCUAAUAAAAUUAAAAAAAAGAAGAGGGAUGGCAUUCUGCCUAUCAGGGAAGAAGUAGGUUGGCAUGAUUCCUCACUUCUCACUCAGUGGGGCUUGGGGAUUUUUGUAGUUUAAAAAGUUAAAUACUGGCCCACACUGUCCUUGAUGCUGAAGAGAAAAAACUGAAUUGAGAGGUAUUAAAUACCAGAAUUAGUUACCAGAGGCAGUAACACUUGAAAACAUGAGAAAAUUACUGCAUAACUGUUUAAAAAGAAAAGGGAAAAAAAAAAAAACCCUACAACUUUUGCUUGGUUCAAUUUUGUUGAAAGUUUAGAAAAAAUAUAUAGCCCCUAUAAAAGACCUAAAAGUUAAUUAGUAAUCUUUACUAUUAUAAGAAUAAUAGUAACUUUUAUAGCUUCAAAGUGUUCUGGAAUGAAUGAUUAAAACCUUAUUGUCCUGGGCUCCAUUUGCUGUUUGAAAGAGGCAGCUCUGGUUUUUCACAUGUACUGGGAUGCUCAGAGGGGGUUGGUGGAAUAUUGUCUUACAAUAUUCUUUGGCCACUUGAAAGGGAGCUGCUGGUGGUCAAGCUAUAUGAAAGAAGCAUGUCUACGCAAAAGAAAAAAAAAAAAAGCACAAAGGGACAUCCAUCCAGAAAGCUAAGACAAGACUCAGGGGACCUCAAGGACUGUCUUUUCUGCACAUGACUGUGUAUGAAUCAAAAACUCCUGUUACUGUUCCCUUGUCCAAGAUGGUUGACCAAGUUGCCACAAAUCAUGAAUCUCUAGACAAGUGGUGUUUUUUGUUGUCACUGUUUUUUGUGUGUUAGUUUUAAUGUGGAGAAAAACCCAAGUGUUUUUCUGCAGGAAGCAUAAUAUUAGAUGAAUAACUGUUUAGUAAUGUCCAUUUGGGCUGGUAUGACAAAAAUGUCAUAGACUGGGUGGCUUAAACAACAAACACUUAUUUCUCACAGUUUUGGAAGCUGUGAAGUCACAGAUCAGGGCACAAGCAAAUGAGAGCCUGUUCCUUGAUGAUAGACAGCUAUCUUCUUGAUGUGCCCUCACAUGGCAGAAGGGGUGAGGAAGUGCUCUGAGCUCUCCUUUAUAAGUCACUAAUUCCACUCAGAGGGGCUCCACCCUCAUAACCUAAUCACCUCCCAGAAACCCCACCUCCAACUACUGUCAUAUUUGAGAUUAGGUUUUAACAUAUAAAUUCUGGAACUGGGGUGGAGUUCCCUUUGUGGUGCAGCAAAAACGAAUUUGACUAGUAUCCAUGAGGAUGUGGGUUCCAUCCCUGGCCUUGCUCAGUGGGUUAAGGAUCAGCCUUGCUGUGAGCUGUGGUGUAGGUUGCAGACAUGGCUCAGAUCCUCCUUUGCUGUGGCUGUGGUUUAGGCUGGCAGCUGUAGCUCUGAUUUGACCCCUAGCCUGGAAACUUCCAUAUGCCAUGGGUAUGGCCAUAAAAAACAAAAAUAAAUAAAUAAAAAAAAAUAAAUUCUGGAGGCACAUUCAAUCUAUUGAAGAUAAUAUUUAAGGACUAGGAAUAACAAACCCAACUUUUAAGAAUUGGUUUUAAAUUAUAUCAUAACCUAAACUGAUUAAACAAUAGUUAGUAUUUGUGUUAUAGCUUUAGUAUAUAUUUUCAUGUAUACCUGUAUACAUGACUGUAUAGGUUGAUUUCCUGUUUCUAACAUUCAGGCUUGUUGACCUCUGAAAUGGAAGCUCAAUCUCCUCCUUCUCUGAUGGCUUUGACCCUAAUUGAGGCAUGGAACUCAGUUGGAAGUAACCUCAGAAGGAGACUCUUCACCUCAGACAGUUUUAAGCAGGGUCUAGGCAGAAGGCAGGAUGAGGGCCUGUGAGUUAGUGUUCUCUGGUUGUAAGCAACACAACUGACCCCAGCUGAUUUGAAAAACAGGAAAUUUAUAGGGAAAAUGUGAGAGAAUGCCUAGGCUCAGUGGGAAGUCUGGAAAUAUCAAGCUUGGAAAAGGAUAGGCCUGGGGCAGCUCUAGGGGUCUGGGCAGCAGUCUCGUGGCAUCACUGCUGGAACAGAUGAGCCCAGCUGAUUUUCUUCCUUGAAUCCUCCUGUUUAAGAUUAAAUUCCCGGAGUUCCCAUCGUGGCACAGCGGAAACGAAUUCAACUAGGAACCAUGAGGUUGCGGUUUCGAUCCCUUGCCUCGCUCAGUGGGUUAAGGAUCCAGCCUUGCCAUGAGCUGUGGUGUAGGUCGCAGGUGCAGCUUGGAUCUGGCAUUGCUGUGGCCGUGGUGUAAGCCUGUGGCAACAGCUCCGAUUGGACCCCUAGCCUGGGAACCUCCAUAUGCCGUGGGUGCAGCCCUAAAAAAGACAAAAGACAAAAAAAAAAAAAAAGAUUAAAUUCCUGCAAAAGGGAGCAUGUCCUUGGCUAAAGAUGGUGGACAACCCUUUCUUCACUGAAGACUUUAUGCCUUGAGGAAGUGGUAGUUCUCUAAGGCAAAAUUGAGGUGCAUACAUAGAAGAAGGAGGAAAGAGGUAAAGUGGGCAAGAAAAAUAGAUGUACAGAGUUGAAAAGAAUAAGCAGGGGCUGAGAAGAUGGUUCUUCCUCAAUUCUUUCCAUUGCAGGGUAGAUUUGAGUUUCUAGUUGUUGGGCCUGCUCUGACACUGGGUCUCUUUCACUGUGUUUCUCAUGUGUUCAGCUUUCACAAGUGUGACAUUUCUCAGUUGGUGCAACUGCUGAGGAUAAGCUCCCCCCCCCCUUUAAAUACAAUUUUGUUUUGUAUCUAGGAGAUUUGCCACACUUGUAAAGAAAACCAAAGAAAGCUCUCUGUACCUUGAUUAAUGCUUCAAUAAAUAAUACCCUAUUUGGUCAUUU